ACCUUCCAGCGCUCACUCGGACUGUUUUCCUGGUUUCGACUCGGCUUGCUUCUGACCACUUCUCCUCGUCUCUGCCCCGUUGAUCCCGCUGCCUGCUCUUACUGGAUUCGUCUGCUCCGCUGCCUGCCUGAUGCCAGCUCUGUUUCCUCCUUGACCACGAGCCCUACCUGCCCCGCUCCGCAGUCCCCGCUUUUCCCACAAGCUCCCUGCUAACUGAUAACUGUCCCUACUUACCUGCAACCUGAAUAUACUCACCUUUGCUCCAUUCAACCUGCCAAAAGAUGAAAGGUCAUCAUCAACUACUCACCUGCUCUGUUGCGCUGCAAUUGG
Plectropomus leopardus (leopard coralgrouper) is the source of this 330-nucleotide non-coding RNA. NCBI's taxonomy places the organism in Eukaryota, Metazoa, Chordata, Actinopteri, Perciformes, Serranidae. The record is from RefSeq and is a predicted model, not a curated record.